This 335-nucleotide unclassified non-coding RNA is filed under the name soil metagenome. Its description in RNAcentral is "partial contains 5.8S ribosomal RNA, internal transcribed spacer 2, and large subunit ribosomal RNA". The stretch from base 1 to 120 matches the Rfam family "5.8S ribosomal RNA", at positions 35 to 154 of the family's 154-position model. The record is from RNAcentral.
GAUGAAGAACGCAGCGAAAUGCGAUAAGUAGUGUGAAUUGCAGAAUUCAGUGAAUCAUCGAAUCUUUGAACGCACAUUGCGCCCCUUGGUAUUCCAUGGGGCAUGCCUGUUCGAGCGUCAUUUGUACCUUCAAGCUCUGCUUGGUGUUGGGUGUUUGUCUCGCCUUGCGCGUAGACUCGCCUUAAAACAAUUGGCAGCCGGCGUAUUGAUUUCGGAGCGCAGUACAUCUCGCGCUUUGCACUCAUAACGACGACGUCCAAAAGUACUUUUUACACUCUUGACCUCGGAUCAGGUAGGGAUACCCGCUGAACUUAAGCAUAUCAAUAGGCGGAGGA